GGGGGCGACCUGGCUUCGACGGGGAUUGCAAAACCUGAGGUGCAUGUCGAGGAGGAUAUCCUCGUUAAUAAAAUCCAAAAUAUAUAGUUGCAAACGACGACAACUACGCAUUAGCUGCUUAAUAACCAGUUCUAAUGCCCUCCGACCCGAAUUUGCUUAUGGGCUUGGUCAUCGGGGGUAAUCUUACAUAAGAUCGCAGUGAGGUAUGUUUAGGGCCGAUCUGUUAAAACCUAACUAAGCUCGCUUGUUAAAAUCCCGCCCAUAGGAGUUUAACCGGUUAAACUAAAAUAUGGUUCUAAGCAUGUAGAGCCGAUGGCAGAGGGUUCGCGGACGGGGGUUCGAUUCCCCCCGCCUCCACCA
This 360-nucleotide transfer-messenger RNA is filed under the name Gammaproteobacteria bacterium. It matches the Rfam family "transfer-messenger RNA". From Rfam's summary of the family: Bacterial tmRNA, also known as 10Sa RNA or SsrA, is named for its dual tRNA and mRNA-like properties. The record is from RNAcentral. Lineage: Bacteria; Pseudomonadati; Pseudomonadota; Gammaproteobacteria.